Molecule: ribosomal RNA, 621 nt
Filed under: Triticum aestivum (bread wheat)
Lineage: Eukaryota; Viridiplantae; Streptophyta; Magnoliopsida; Poales; Poaceae
Description: partial small subunit ribosomal RNA
Source: RNAcentral
AUGGUUGCAGCUAAUUUUUUCAGUAGUGUCCUGCCACUCCUGGGGGAUCUUACCAUGUUUGUCUGCAGAAGCUCUGCAUCUUUGUCAGUUGGUCGUCUGACCUCCCUUGAAUCACUAUCACUGGGAGUUUUACCUGAUCUGUGCUCUCUUGAAGGACUGUCUUCCCUGCAACUUCACUCUGUACAUUUCACAGAUGUCCCGAAGCUUGACGCAAGCUGCAUUUCACAGUUCCGGGUCCAGAGAUCUAUAUAUGUUAGCAGCCCUGUGAUGCUCAACCACAUGCUCUCGGCUGAAGGCUUUACAGUUCCGCCAUUUCUGUCUCUUGAAGGACUCAAGGAAUCCUCUGUUCUAUUUGAAGAAUCUGCAAAUUUCAAAUCUGUCAAAUGCUUGAGGUUAUUUGAUUGUGAAAUGAGUUCCCUGCCAAUAAAUCUGACGUGCUUCUCCAACCUGAUGGAACUCGAAAUCUUUAGGUGUCCCAAUAUAUCAUCUUUACCAGAUCUGCCAUCCUCCCUCCAGCACUUAGUCGUGUGGGAGUCUGAACUCUUGCAGAAGAGCUGCCGAGUACCUGAUGGAGAAAGCUGGCCAAAGAUUCAGCAUAUCCGCUGGAAGAAAUUCACAUAA